AACGAACGCUGGCGGCAUGCCUAACACAUGCAAGUCGAACGAGACCUUCGGGUCUAGUGGCGCACGGGUGCGUAACGCGUGGGAACCUUCCCUUAGGCUCGGAAUAACUCCCCGAAAGGGGUGCUAAUACCGGAUAAUUUCUUCGGACCAAAGAUUUGUCGCCUUUGGAUGGGCCCGCGUUGGAUUAGCUAGUUGGUAGGGUAAAAGCCUACCAAGGCGACGAUCCAUAGCUGGUCUGAGAGGAUGAUCAGCCACACUGGGACUGAGACACGGCCCAGAAUCCUACGGGAGGCAGCAGUGGGGAAUAUUGGACAAUGGGCGAAAGCCUGAUCCAGCUAUGCCGCGUGAGUGAUGAAGGCCUUAGGGUUGUAAAGCUCUUUUACCCGGGAUGAUAAUGACAGUACCGGGAGAAUAAGCUCCGGCUAACUCCGUG
Molecule: ribosomal RNA, 433 nt
Filed under: uncultured bacterium
Lineage: Bacteria
Description: partial 16S ribosomal RNA
Rfam family: Bacterial small subunit ribosomal RNA
Source: RNAcentral